AAAAAUCUUACUAUUAUAUUUGUAUCAAAAUUUGUAUAAGGGUUUUAUAACUUAUACAGCCAUUCUGCUCGAAAUGGUGUAGCAUUGGAAACAAUGGUACUACGAAUUGUAGCAAGGUGCUGGGCGACCUAAAACGGCUCUGGAGGUGCUCUGAGUGGGUACUUUAUUAGGGUUAUAAUUUAGAAAGUAAGCUAAAACUCUAGGUGUUGGGCAGGGCUAACACUGGCAUAUAGUUAAAUAUAUGCGAUAAAGUAAGC
RNAcentral lists this non-coding RNA (257 nucleotides) under unclassified sequences. Its description in RNAcentral is "ARRPOF RNA". It matches the Rfam family "ARRPOF RNA". The record is from Rfam by way of RNAcentral.